RNAcentral lists this ribosomal RNA (700 nucleotides) under Microbacterium sp. RNAcentral's name for it is "bacterial SSU rRNA". It matches the Rfam family "Bacterial small subunit ribosomal RNA", at positions 111 to 825 of the family's 1533-position model. The record is from RNAcentral. Lineage: Bacteria; Bacillati; Actinomycetota; Actinomycetes; Micrococcales; Microbacteriaceae.
UAACACGUGAGCAACCUGCCCUGGACUCUGGGAUAAGCGCUGGAAACGGCGUCUAAUACUGGAUAUGAGCCCCUAUCGCAUGGUGGGGGUUGGAAAGAUUUUUUGGUCUGGGAUGGGCUCGCGGCCUAUCAGCUUGUUGGUGAGGUAAUGGCUCACCAAGGCGUCGACGGGUAGCCGGCCUGAGAGGGUGACCGGCCACACUGGGACUGAGACACGGCCCAGACUCCUACGGGAGGCAGCAGUGGGGAAUAUUGCACAAUGGGCGAAAGCCUGAUGCAGCAACGCCGCGUGAGGGAUGACGGCCUUCGGGUUGUAAACCUCUUUUAGCAGGGAAGAAGCGAAAGUGACGGUACCUGCAGAAAAAGCGCCGGCUAACUACGUGCCAGCAGCCGCGGUAAUACGUAGGGCGCAAGCGUUAUCCGGAAUUAUUGGGCGUAAAGAGCUCGUAGGCGGUUUGUCGCGUCUGCUGUGAAAUCCCGAGGCUCAACCUCGGGCCUGCAGUGGGUACGGGCAGACUAGAGUGCGGUAGGGGAGAUUGGAAUUCCUGGUGUAGCGGUGGAAUGCGCAGAUAUCAGGAGGAACACCGAUGGCGAAGGCAGAUCUCUGGGCCGUAACUGACGCUGAGGAGCGAAAGGGUGGGGAGCAAACAGGCUUAGAUACCCUGGUAGUCCACCCCGUAAACGUUGGGAACUAGUUGUGG